This 96-nucleotide microRNA precursor is filed under the name Acetitomaculum ruminis DSM 5522. RNAcentral's name for it is "microRNA mir-598". Lineage: Bacteria; Bacillati; Bacillota; Clostridia; Lachnospirales; Lachnospiraceae. The record is from RNAcentral.
UGGUGGUGAUGAUGCUCAUGGUCAUGAUCGUGGUGAUGAUGUUCAUGGUCAUGAUGAUGCUCAUGAUCGUGAUGAUGAUGUUCAUGAUCGUGACAA